GAAGAGCCAUGGCGGCAAGCACAAGGGGUCAGGAGGGGAGGGGGAGGAGGGAUCAGCAGGAUGCUGAGGCAACACAAGGACAGGCUCUACAUCAUCCGGCGAUGCGUCGUCAUGCUCCUCUGCUACCAUGACUGA
Molecule: ribosomal RNA, 135 nt
Filed under: Triticum aestivum (bread wheat)
Lineage: Eukaryota; Viridiplantae; Streptophyta; Magnoliopsida; Poales; Poaceae
Description: partial small subunit ribosomal RNA
Source: RNAcentral